This 2800-nucleotide long non-coding RNA is filed under the name Homo sapiens (human). Its description in RNAcentral is "HSALNT0395120". Lineage: Eukaryota; Metazoa; Chordata; Mammalia; Primates; Hominidae. The record is from RNAcentral.
AGAAGGAGGCCAAGCACCCAGGGCGUGCUAGCUGGCUGGAAAGAGCCAACGAGUGGAUAAAGAAAAUGUGAUAUAUAUGCACUAUGGAAUACUAAGCCAUAAGAAGGAAUGAAAUAAUGGCAUUUGCAGCAACCUAGAUGGAGUUGGAGACCAUUAUUCUAAGUGAAGUAACUCAAGAAUGGAAAACCAAAUAUUGUAUGUUCUCACUCGUAAGUGGGAGCUAAGCUGCGAAGAUGCAAAGGCAUAAGAAUGAUAUAGUGGACUUUGAGGACUCAAGGGUUGAAGGAUGAGACUACACAUUGGGUACAGUGUGCACUGCUUGGGUGAUGAGUGCACCAAAAUCUCAGAACUCACCACUGAAGAACUUCCCCAUGUAACCAAAAACCACCUGUUCCACAGAAACUAUCGAAAUAACAUUUUUAAAACUUUACUAUUUCUGAAUAAAAUUUACAUACAUUUCUCAGAAAAAAAAAUAUUUGGAAUUGAGGUAUCUAAUAGAGAACUGAGUUAAAUUAUUGCCACUUAAAAACACAAAGUGAUAUAGCCACUUUAUGAAUUAAUCAGUCAGCAGUGGCUAGGUUAUGCUUAGUGGUUUAUAACCAAAUCUUAGUUUAUAACAACAAAUGUGUAUUGUUAAUUCCCACUACAAGUUUAUAACGACAUUGCUGGAUGCUACACUCCAUGUCUCUUUGUGGGACCCAGGCUCAUGGGACUUCUGUUACCUGCAUUAGAGAGAGAGAAGACAACAAAAUAUGCACUGGUUCUUGAAGCUUUGGCCCAGAAGUAAAAUAUGUCUUUUACCUGUUCACAUUGCAUUGGGCCAGGGCAAUUAUCAUGGCUGCAAGUAACUUCAAAAGGAUGGGGAAGUGCGAUCUUGGCAUGUGUCAGAAGAAAUGAAAACAUUUGGUGAAGAGCAUUAAUGACUGUCUUUACAGGAAAAAAGCAAUCAAAUAGACAUGAUUGCUUGUUUCAGUUUCAUCAUUUCCUACUGUGUUACCUAAACUUUCUGAGCCCCAGUUUCUUAUUACUAAAAUAAAAUAAAGAUGAUAUUCACUUCAAGGACUUUGUGUUAACUAGGGUAAAAAAAUUGAAAACUAGUAAGUUAUGCAAAUUAGAAAUGUAUAAUAUUACUGCUUUGAAAGUGAUGGUGAAAUGUAGAAUAAUUGGAAGGAUAACACAAAGCACUUAUACCAGGAGGCUUUUAGCUGCAGAUAAUAGAAAUGAACCUCCACUACUUUAAUCAAUAAAAAAGUGUAUCAGCUCACAAAUUUGUCAUCCAGACAUAAAGGAGGCUUCAGAAUUUAUUGACUCAGGAGUUGAAUGUUGGUAUCAAGGACCUAGAUUUUUCUCAUCACUCUGCACUUCAAUUCUCAAUGCCCUAUUGAACAUCAGGCUGUAGUAAGAUGGCUAGAGUGAUUCCAGGGAUAACAUCUAGAGAUAAAAAAGAGAACUCCUUUUCUUAUGAUUUUUUUCUUAAGAGAAAAGGAAUUUCCCAAAAGCCCCCAGCAAGCAUGCCUUCACAUCCCAUGGCCAGAAGUGGCUCACAUGUGUACCCUGAGCUAAGCACUGCAGACAGGAAUGGAAUCGCCUGUAGGCCUCAGAGACCACCUGGAUCUUGGGAAGGUGUCAGCUCUACCUGUGGCACUUGGCUGAGUGGGAAAGGGAUGGAAACAUGAAUAAAGUAAGAAUUAGGAAGGAAAAGGAGAAAUGGAUCCAGGGUAUGAAGCCAAUAGUUUAGUUAUCUCAACAAAUAUGAUUGAUUUCAUCUUUAUGAAUGUGAUGACCUAAUUUAAUACAUUCAAUCAAUGAAGUAAAAAAAAGUGCAAGGACAAUAUGACAUCUGUCAUUCUCUGUUGAGAUUUGAGAGGUAAUAAUACCAAGAACGUGUGGUGACCUGGGUCCUCACUGCUACUGUCUUCCUGUACCUGGACACUUCUAGCAAGAGACUUCAACUUCAGAACAAAGAGGAUCCCAACUUGUAGCUGCAUUAUACACACCCCAGCAGCACACAUAAGUUGAUUUCUAAUUAUUCCUCUUUAAGAAAUUGUUUGUGGAAUAUUUAUCUAUUUAUAAAUGGAAAAAUAGAAAAUUAAAAUAACAAAAAUAAGUAACACCAUGUAUUGAGUGUCUACUGCGUGCUAGGCACUGUGCUAAGUGUUCUGCAUAUAUUGUCAUUGUGCUGCCAACGACUCUGCAAUAAAGAUGUUCCCAUUCCUACUUUACAGCUAAGGAAACCAAGGAUCUGAGAAAUAACGUAUUUUGCCCAAGAUUAUCCAACUGGUAAAAUCUGGAGUCCAAAUUUGAACCAGAGUCCAUUCAACACACUUUCACCUCUACACCAGUGCUUUCUGAGUUUGCUGAACAUUAGAAUCACCUCAGGAACUUAAAAAAAAUUCCCAGGUGAUACCCCAUAGCAAGUAAAUUAGAAAAUCGGGCAGGGGAAGAGGAACCCUGGCAUCAGUACUUUUUAAAGUCCCCAGGUACUUACAAUGUGGAGGAAAGUUUGGGAACCACUGUGCUAUAUUAUGUUGCCUCUUCAGCCAAGAAUGUAAACCAGAAUCUUUUCUUCCAAGGCCAAGAGCAGUGAAUGAUAGCUUAUGGUAUAUACUCUCAUUCCCAAGUGAUCCUCUUCCUCAGGAGUUCUGCUUUAGGCUAACUAAUUUCAAGUUUCCCUUUCACUACAUUUCUCACCCAUCUGAAGCUAAAAAUGUUACAGGAGACAUGCUGAAUUUGUUGCUUUUUCUCUGUUAUCUCUCCUUUUCAGAGCCGCCUCCCCUUACUUUACUUCACCUGCUAAAGU